GACGAACGCUGGCGGCGUGCUUAACACAUGCAAGUCGAACGGUGAGGAGGAGCUUGCUCCUCCGAUCAGUGGCGAACGGGUGAGUAACACGUGAGUAACCUGCCCCAGACCCUGGGAUAACAGUUGGAAACAGCUGCUAAUACCGGAUACGAGACGGAGAGGCAUCUCUACCGUCUGGAAAGAUUUUAUCGGUCUGGGAUGGACUCGCGGCCUAUCAGCUUGUUGGUGAGGUAAAGGCUCACCAAGGCGACGACGGGUAGCCGGCCUGAGAGGGCGACCGGCCACACUGGGACUGAGACACGGCCCAGACUCCUACGGGAGGCAGCAGUGGGGAAUAUUGCACAAUGGGCGAAAGCCUGAUGCAGCGACGCCGCGUGAGGGAUGACGGCCU
This 391-nucleotide ribosomal RNA is filed under the name uncultured bacterium. Its description in RNAcentral is "bacterial SSU rRNA". It matches the Rfam family "Bacterial small subunit ribosomal RNA", at positions 28 to 417 of the family's 1533-position model. The record is from RNAcentral.